GGGCGUAUGGUGUAGUUGGUUAUCACGCUCGCUUAGCAUCUUAUGUAAGCUUGCGAGAGGUGUCCGGUUCAAUUCCGGAUUCGUCCA
Molecule: non-coding RNA, 87 nt
Organism: Mycena olivaceomarginata
Lineage: Eukaryota; Fungi; Basidiomycota; Agaricomycetes; Agaricales; Mycenaceae
Source: the annotation of a GenBank genome assembly